UACGUAGGGGGCAAGCGUUGUCCGGAUUUAUUGGGCGUAAAGAGCGUGUAGGCGGCCAUACAGGUCCGUUGUGAAAACUCGAGGCUCAACCUCGAGACGCCGAUGGAAACCAUCCAGCUAGAGUCCGGAAGAGGAGAGUGGAAUUCCUGGUGUAGCGGUGAAAUGCGCAGAUAUCAGGAAGAACACCCGUGGCUAAGGCGGCUCUCUAGUAAGGUACUGACGCUGAGACGCGAAAGCGUGGGGAGCGAACAGG
Molecule: ribosomal RNA, 253 nt
Filed under: uncultured bacterium
Lineage: Bacteria
Description: partial 16S ribosomal RNA
Rfam family: Bacterial small subunit ribosomal RNA
Source: RNAcentral